GACGAACGCUGGCGGCGUGCUUAACACAUGCAAGUCGAGCGGGAUCCAACCGGUGGCAACACCGGGGAAGAUCUAGCGGCGAACGGGUGAGUAACACGUGAGCAACCUGCCCCGAAGACUGGGAUAACACCGGGAAACCGGUGCUAAUACCGGAUGUCGUCAUUAGGCCGCAUGACCUGAUGAUGAAAGGAUUCAUCGCUUCGGGAGGGGCUCGCGGGCUAUCAGCUUGNGGUGGGUAACGGCCUACCAAGGCGACGACGGCUAGCUGGUCUGAGAGGACGACCAGCCACACUGGGACUGAGACACGGCCCAGACUCCUACGGGAGGCAGCAGUGGGGAAUCUUGCGCAAUGGGCGAAAGCCUGACGCAGCAACGCCGCG
This 380-nucleotide ribosomal RNA is filed under the name uncultured bacterium. RNAcentral's name for it is "bacterial SSU rRNA". It matches the Rfam family "Bacterial small subunit ribosomal RNA", at positions 28 to 401 of the family's 1533-position model. The record is from RNAcentral.